Molecule: ribosomal RNA, 255 nt
Filed under: uncultured bacterium
Lineage: Bacteria
Description: partial 16S ribosomal RNA
Rfam family: Bacterial small subunit ribosomal RNA
Source: RNAcentral
CGGACGGGUGAGUAACGCGUGGAAAACCUGCCGUAUACUGGGGGAUAACACUUAGAGAUAGGUGCUAAUACCGCAUAAGCGCACAGCUUCGCAUGAAGCGGUGUGAAAAACUCUGGUGGUAUACGAUGGUUCCGCGUCUGAUUAGCUAGUUGGUGGGGUAAUGGCCUACCAAGGCAACGAUCAGUAGCCGGCCUGAGAGGGUGAACGGCCACAUUGGGACUGAGACACGGCCCAAACUCCUACGGGAGGCAGCAG